GACGAACGCUGGCGGCGUGCUUAACACAUGCAAGUCGAACGGAAAGGCCCUGCUUUUGUGGGGUGCUCGAGUGGCGAACGGGUGAGUAACACGUGAGUAACCUGCCCUUGACUUUGGGAUAACUUCAGGAAACUGGGGCUAAUACCGGAUAGGAGCUCCUGCUGCAUGGUGGGGGUUGGAAAGUUUCGGCGGUUGGAGAUGGACUCGCGGCUUAUCAGCUUGUUGGUGGGGUAGUGGCUUACCAAGGCUUUGACGGGUAGCCGGCCUGAGAGGGUGACCGGCCACAUUGGGACUGAGAUACGGCCCAGACUCCUACGGGAGGCAGCAGUGGGGAAUAUUGCACAAUGGGCGGAAGCCUGAUGCAGCAACGCCGCAUGCGGGAUGACGGCCUUCGGGUUGUAAACCGCUUUCGCCUGCGACGAAGCGUGAGUGACGGUAAUGGGUAAAGAAGCACCGGCUAACUACGUG
RNAcentral lists this ribosomal RNA (468 nucleotides) under uncultured bacterium. Its description in RNAcentral is "partial 16S ribosomal RNA". It matches the Rfam family "Bacterial small subunit ribosomal RNA", at positions 28 to 507 of the family's 1533-position model. The record is from RNAcentral.